This 909-nucleotide ribosomal RNA is filed under the name uncultured bacterium. Its description in RNAcentral is "bacterial SSU rRNA". It matches the Rfam family "Bacterial small subunit ribosomal RNA", at positions 35 to 931 of the family's 1533-position model. The record is from RNAcentral.
GCUGGCGGCAUGCCUAGUACAUGCAAGUCGAACGAGAGGAAGGAGAGCUUGCUUUCCUGAAUCUAGUGGCGAACGGGUGAGUAACACGUAGGUAACCUGCCCAUGUGCCCGGGAUAACUUCUGGAAACGGAUGCUAAAACCGGAUAGGUAGCAGACAAGCAUUUGACUGCUAUUAAAGUGGCUUUUGCCAUGAACAUGGAUGGACCUGCGGUGCAUUAGCUGGUUGGUGAGGUAACGGCCCACCAAGGCGACGAUGCAUAGCCGGCCUGAGAGGGCGGACGGCCACAUUGGGACUGAGACACGGCCCAAACUCCUACGGGAGGCAGCAGUAGGGAAUUUUCGUCAAUGGGGGGAACCCUGAACGAGCAAUGCCGCGUGAGUGAGGAAGGUCUUCGGAUCGUAAAGCUCUGUUGUAAGAGAAAAACGACAUUCAUAGGGAAUGAUGAGUGAGUGAUGGUAUCUUACCAGAAAGUCACGGCUAACUACGUGCCAGCAGCCGCGGUAAUACGUAGGUGGCGAGCGUUAUCCGGAAUGAUUGGGCGUAAAGGGUGCGUAGGUGGCAGAUCAAGUCUGGAGUAAAAGGUAUGGGCUCAACCCGUACUGGCUCUGGAAACUGAUCAGCUAGAGAACAGAAGAGGACGGCGGAACUCCAUGUGUAGCGGUAAAAUGCGUAGAUAUAUGGAAGAACACCGGUGGCGAAGGCGGCCGUCUGGUCUGGAUUCUGACACUGAAGCACGAAAGCGUGGGGAGCAAAUAGGAUUAGAUACCCUAGUAGUCCACGCCGUAAACGAUGAGAACUAGGUGUUGGGGGAAUAACUCAGUGCCGCAGUUAACGCAAUAAGUUCUCCGCCUGGGGAGUAUGCACGCAAGUGUGAAACUCAAAGGAAUUGACGGAAGGGCGAAUUCGCG